This 353-nucleotide ribosomal RNA is filed under the name uncultured bacterium. RNAcentral describes it as "bacterial SSU rRNA". It matches the Rfam family "Bacterial small subunit ribosomal RNA", at positions 9 to 350 of the family's 1533-position model. The record is from RNAcentral.
GAGUUUGGAUCCUGGCUCAGGAUGAACGCUAGCUACAGGCUUAACACAUGCAAGUCGAGGGGAAACGACAUCGAAAGCUUGCUUUUGAUGGGCGUCGACCGGCGCACGGGUGAGUAACGCGUAUCCAACCUGCCCACCACUUGGGGAUAACCUUGCGAAAGUAAGACUAAUACCCAAUGACGUCUCUAGAAGACAUCUGAAGGAGAUUAAAGAUUUAUCGGUGAUGGAUGGGGAUGCGUCUGAUUAGCUUGUUGGCGGGGUAACGGCCACCAAGGCGACGAUCAGUAGGGGUUCUGAGAGGAAGGUCCCCCACAUUGGAACUGAGACACGGUCCAAAACUCCUACGGGAGGCA